CCCUGAGCAGCGCUUUCGAGGACUGUCCAACCUGAGAAUGCUGAAUUCUGGGUCAAUCUCAGGUUCGUCAGCCCAUGAAAGGCUGUUUCCAU
RNAcentral lists this microRNA precursor (92 nucleotides) under Astyanax mexicanus (Mexican tetra). RNAcentral's name for it is "mir-1388 microRNA precursor family". It matches the Rfam family "mir-1388 microRNA precursor family". The record is from Rfam by way of RNAcentral. Lineage: Eukaryota; Metazoa; Chordata; Actinopteri; Characiformes; Acestrorhamphidae.